Molecule: ribosomal RNA, 407 nt
Filed under: uncultured bacterium
Lineage: Bacteria
Description: partial 16S ribosomal RNA
Rfam family: Bacterial small subunit ribosomal RNA
Source: RNAcentral
GACGAACGCUGGCGGCGUGCCUAAUACAUGCAAGUAGGACGCAGUUGCGAACGGGUGAGUAACGCGUAGGUAACUACCUCUUAGAGGGGGAUAACUAUUGGAAACGAUAGCUAAUAACGCAUACUCGUAGAUGGACCUGGGUUGUAUUGGCUAUUAGGUAGGGUACUGGCCUACCUAGGCAACGAUACAUAGACGACCUGAUGGGGUGAUCGGUCACACUUGGACUGGUACACGGCCCAGGCUCCUACGGGACGCAGUGGUAGGGAUGCGUCGGCAAUGGGGGGAACCCUGACCAAGCAACGCCGCGUGAGUGAGGAGGGUGUUCGGAUCGUAAGGCUCUGUGUUUAAGGAAGCGGUACUUAACCAGAAAGGAACGGCUAACUACGUGCCAGCAGCCGCGGUAAUUC